GAAGAUAUAGCUCCGUAGUAGAGCACAUGCUUAGCAUGCACAAGGUCCUGGGUUCAGUCCCCAGUACCUCUA
This 72-nucleotide transfer RNA is filed under the name Camelus bactrianus (Bactrian camel). It matches the Rfam family "tRNA". Rfam says of the family: Transfer RNA (tRNA) molecules are approximately 80 nucleotides in length. Their secondary structure includes four short double-helical elements and three loops (D, anti-codon, and T loops). The record is from Rfam by way of RNAcentral. Lineage: Eukaryota; Metazoa; Chordata; Mammalia; Artiodactyla; Camelidae. RNAcentral also lists the same sequence under 1 other name.